CUAACCCAUCCCCUCUCCCGUCCCUGGUCUUCACCCCUCUGUCUCUGCACUGCCUUUGCUGUUGCCGGCUUUCUCCCCUCCCAAGAGUGCAGGCCCCUUUCGGGGUUGCACUCUCCUCCACCUUCUCCGAGGCACGUUCUAGCCAUGUCCAGCAGACACGUUGGGUAGCAGGGUCUCUUCUUCCUUACGGAGCCCGCCCCAGCCCCACUCACGCACCGCUAUCUAGUGCCUAUAGAGAACCUCUGCCCAGAUCCUAGAAUCGCCUCAUAACCGCUUUUUUAAUCACUUCCCUGGUUUUUGGAAGGCCUGUGCUUUGGAGAGCUCAAACCCCAGGCAUUCCGGCACUGCCCCCUGUGAAGUGAGAGGGUAACCCAUUAGAUUGCACUUUGCUCAGAAGGAAAAAUGACGGCAUCAUGCUUUUCUCAAUCAGUUAAAUGAAGACCGCCUAUGUUACACUGUACUUCGUAUUCUCCCUGAAGAUAGACGGAGGCAACAUGGCCAAGAGAAGCAGAUAAAAUUUUCUUCUGUAUUUGCCUCCAUCACCAAGUUUUAACCAGCCCCCCAGGCUCUUCUGUCCCCGAGGAUUCUCCAGCAAGAAUACUGGAGUGGGUUGCCAUGACCUUCUCCAGGGGAUCUUCCCAACCAAGGGAUUGAACCCAGGUCUUCCGCAUUGCAUGUCGAAAGAAAAAAGGCAAAAGCAGGUAUAAAUAUAAAUUUAAGAUCAAUUGAAGGAUUCCUAAUGGAAAAAUAUUACAAUGCUUUUUGUCAAGUUUUG
Long non-coding RNA from Bos taurus (domestic cattle), 775 nucleotides. Lineage: Eukaryota; Metazoa; Chordata; Mammalia; Artiodactyla; Bovidae. The record is from Ensembl.